RNAcentral lists this RNase P RNA (358 nucleotides) under Synergistaceae bacterium. RNAcentral's name for it is "RNase P RNA component class A". It matches the Rfam family "Bacterial RNase P class A". Rfam says of the family: Ribonuclease P (RNase P) is a ubiquitous endoribonuclease, found in archaea, bacteria and eukarya as well as chloroplasts and mitochondria. Its best characterised activity is the generation of mature 5'-ends of tRNAs by cleaving the 5'-leader elements of precursor-tRNAs. The record is from RNAcentral. Lineage: Bacteria; Thermotogati; Synergistota; Synergistia; Synergistales; Synergistaceae.
UGAGUCGUACAGGCGACCGCUGCGGCGCUGUUUGGCGCCGGGGAGGAAAGUCCGGGCUCCACAGGGCAAAGACGCCGGGUAAUACCCGGUCGGCGCGAGUCGAAGGAAAGUGCCACAGAGAACAUACCGCCUGCGGUUUGGGUAAGGGUGAAAAGGCAGGGUAAGAGCCUACCAAGCGUGGGGUAAUCCGCGUGUUUGGCAAACCCCGUCUGGAGCAAGACCGAAUAGAGGGGGAUGAAGUGGCCCGCUGACCCCUGGGUCGGUCGCGUGAGUCUUUUGACUCAGAGGUACGCCGUGAGGCACACCCUAGAUAAAUGGUCGCAUGAACACAGAACCCGGCUUAUGCACGACUCAUCAG